RNAcentral lists this small RNA (339 nucleotides) under Pan troglodytes (chimpanzee). RNAcentral's name for it is "processed transcript". The record is from RNAcentral. Lineage: Eukaryota; Metazoa; Chordata; Mammalia; Primates; Hominidae.
UCAAAGGGGGAACCUCUUCUGAUCUGCUGUAACAUUCAGUUCAGAAUCUGUGUCCAGCUUGAGUACAAGUAUUGGUACUUUACCCUAACAAAACAAUAGGAAUCCUUUCUGUCGUGUGUAUCUCCAAACAGAAGAACAGAAGAACUUCUGCUUGGGUGGCUGAACUCUGAUCUUGACCUAGAGUCAUGGCCAUGGCAACCAAAGGAGGUACUGUCAAAGCUGCUUCAGGAUUCAAUGCCAUGGAAGAUGCCCAGACCCUGAGGAAGGCCAUGAAAGGGCUCGGCACCGAUGAAGACGCCAUUAUUAGCGUCCUUGCCUACCGCAACACCGCCCAGCGCC